Molecule: long non-coding RNA, 1154 nt
Organism: Capra hircus (goat)
Lineage: Eukaryota; Metazoa; Chordata; Mammalia; Artiodactyla; Bovidae
Exons: 4
Source: RefSeq, a predicted model, not a curated record
GGAGAAUAAUGGAGUCGGAAGUUCGAGCUGGGAACGGAAGUCUGGCAGGAAAGGGGAAAGUGACUAUAUCUGGACUAUAGAGUAUGGAGAUUCAAGGAAAUAAGUGGAGUGAACUUUUUCUGAUGAAGUAAGUGGAGUUUUUUGUUUUUUAAAUUUAAGUUGCUGUCUAAAUGCUUUUAUGUAGGUAAGUUCCCCUUUGAUGUUCCUGAAACAGUUCUGAAACUCAACACUCUAAAACAGAAAUCUAUUUUUUCCCUCUCCCUCCCUGAAUCAGCUUUUUGAUUCUGCCUUCCAUAGCUCUGAGGAACUACUCCCAAGAGAUAGAGGAGAGGCCAGUAUAUCUGUAACUUUGGGUGUAUUGUAGAUCAGUGCUGAGGACUUAAUCUAGGUGAAACUGGAUGAAAUUGGAGGUGGUGUAAAUAAGAGUUCCUGAGAGUCAUGGUAGAGCAUCUUAUAUCUCAAGGCACAAGGAGAGAAAUGCAAGCUCCUCCUAGAAGGACUUUUGUUACCCUAGGUUCAGAUUUUUGAAAAGAUGUUUUAUCAAACCAAUUUCUUUAUGCAAAAACCAGUUUUGGAAUGUGAAACAACCCCAUCUUGGCCAUUUCAGGGUGGGGUUUCCUUGAGUUCCCAAUUAAGUAAAUACUUAUGGAAGUAUUUGUUGGCUCCUCUCUCCUUCUUUUUGGGAAACUCUAUUCCCCAUUUUAAAGUUCAUUUGCCCAGAUAAAAUUACUACUGAAAACCGUCUGGUGGACACAUGUGCUGUUUGUGAGCUUAAGUCCUCUAGGUGUCACCCUGGAGUCAUUUCAGCUCUUUUACCUGCCUUGCUUUCUCCCUCCAGCAAUCUAACCCCCGCCACCUCCCAGUUUCUCACAGCACUGGAUGGCCAAUCCUUAUGUGUUCAUCUUUCGAUGAGCAACUUUUCUACAUUAAUGAGUGAGUUUCCCUAUGGGACUGCUGCACGGUAUAAGGACUCACCUUCCCCACUGCCAUAAAUGUCUCGCCUAAGAAAGCUGAAACCAAAAGGAACUGUGUCCCUUAUCUUUGGAGCUGAAAGCUCUCAUGUGGUAGCUUCACUUUAAUUCCAAUUAACCCUGUUCAAGUUUGGUCUUCCCUAGUGGCUCAAAUGGUAAAGAAUCUGCCUACAAUGCAGGAGA